Molecule: non-coding RNA, 70 nt
Organism: Dipodomys ordii (Ord's kangaroo rat)
Lineage: Eukaryota; Metazoa; Chordata; Mammalia; Rodentia; Heteromyidae
Source: Rfam
GGGAAUGUGGCUUAGUGGUAGAGUGCUUGCCUACCAUGCAUGAAGCCCUGAGCUCGAUUCCUCAGUACCA